RNAcentral lists this ribosomal RNA (432 nucleotides) under uncultured bacterium. RNAcentral's name for it is "partial 16S ribosomal RNA". It matches the Rfam family "Bacterial small subunit ribosomal RNA", at positions 29 to 507 of the family's 1533-position model. The record is from RNAcentral.
ACGAACGCUGGCGGCAUGCCUCACACAUGCAAGUCGCACGCGACCUUCGGGUCUAGUGGCGCACGGGUGCGUAACGCGUGGGAACCUGCCCUUAGGUUCGGAAUAACUCCCCGAAAGGGGUGCUAAUACCGGAUAAUGUCUUCGGACCAAAGAUUUAUCGCCUUUGGAUGGGCCCGCGUUGGAUUAGCUAGUUGGUAGGGUAAAAGCCUACCAAGGCGACGAUCCAUAGCUGGUCUGAGAGGAUGAUCAGCCACACUGGGACUGAGACACGGCCCAGACUCCUACGGGAGGCAGCAGUGGGGAAUAUUGGACAAUGGGCGAAAGCCUGAUCCAGCAAUGCCGCGUGAGUGAUGAAGGCCUUAGGGUUGUAAAGCUCUUUUACCCGGGAUGAUAAUGACAGUACCGGGAGAAUAAGCUCCGGCUAACUCCGUG